UUUUUUUUUCUUUCAAAAUUUGAGUUUCCCUUUCAUCUUUCUCUAUCGUCUCAUCUAUUUGUUUAGCCCUAACAUAACAGAGACGAGAGAAAGACACACAGAGAGAGAGAGAGAGGCGAAGAGACGACGACGGAGGAACACGAUGGAGGGAACAACUGAGAGAGAUGGUGGAGGGGUGCGACGACGAAGGAUGGAGGAUGAUGGAGGGACACGACGCGGCUCAACGGCAAGGAAUAAUCAAGCUUAAUACAAAUGGGAGUAUCAAAGGGAAAUCUGCCUACGGUGGCUUCGGAGGGUUGUUAUGUGAUGGAAAGGGAGCUUGGGUCAGUGGUUACUAUGGAAGAUGGUCCCAAUGAGAAAUGCCCUUUCAAAGGACUAGUAGAAGAUGCUCAAAUCAUUUUCAGGGGCUACAAAUGCAAUCAUUUCAAUGGAUUUAAAGGACUUGCUCUCUUUUUUUUCCUUUUUGUUUUUUUUUUUUGUUUCAUUUGGUACUUUAUGAUGUAAUUUAGUGUAACGGUUGCAGUGGUACAUUUCAUAUUCGAGAAUACAAAUAUAGAUGGUUGCAAUUGUGUUGGUAUAUGAUUAACAAUAUAUUUGGUACUGCCUAAUAAUACGUUUUGUUUCAUUUGCUCUA
This is a non-coding RNA of Camellia sinensis, 634 nucleotides long. NCBI's taxonomy places the organism in Eukaryota, Viridiplantae, Streptophyta, Magnoliopsida, Ericales, Theaceae. The record is from RefSeq and is a predicted model, not a curated record.